This 223-nucleotide ribosomal RNA is filed under the name uncultured Methanomicrobiales archaeon. RNAcentral's name for it is "partial 16S ribosomal RNA". It matches the Rfam family "Archaeal small subunit ribosomal RNA", at positions 1117 to 1338 of the family's 1478-position model. Lineage: Archaea; Methanobacteriati; Methanobacteriota; Methanomicrobia; Methanomicrobiales. The record is from RNAcentral.
AAGAGGAGGAAGGAAUGGGGCAACGGUAGGUCAGCAUGCCCCGAAUUAUCUGGGCUACACGCGGGCUACAAUGGGUGGGACAAUGGGUAUCGACACCGAAAGGUGAAGGCAAUCUCCUAAACCCAUCCGUAGUUCGGAUUGUGGGCUGCAACUCGCCCACAUGAAGCUGGAAUCUGUAGUAAUCGUGUCUCAAAAUGGCACGGUGAAUAUGUCCCUGCUCCUU